RNAcentral lists this ribosomal RNA (809 nucleotides) under uncultured euryarchaeote. Its description in RNAcentral is "bacterial SSU rRNA". It matches the Rfam family "Archaeal small subunit ribosomal RNA", at positions 49 to 859 of the family's 1478-position model. The record is from RNAcentral. Lineage: Archaea; Methanobacteriati; Methanobacteriota.
GCAUGCUAGUCGCACGAGUUCAGACUCGUGGCGGAUAGCUCAGUAACACGUGGUCAAACUACCCUAUAGACCAGAAUAACCUCGGGAAACUGAGGCUAAUACUGGAUAAGGCUCCUAUGCUGGAAUGCAAGGAGCUGGAAACGUUCCGGCGCUAUAGGAUGUGGCUGCGGCCGAUUAGGUAGACGGUGGGGUAACGGCCCACCGUGCCGAUAAUCGGUACGGGUUGUGAGAGCAAGAGCCCGGAGAUGGAUUCUGAGACAAGAAUCCAGGCCCUACGGGGCGCAGCAGGCGCGAAAACUUUACACUGCACGACAGUGCGAUAAGGGAACUCCGAGUGCGAGGGCAUAUAGUCCUCGCUUUUGUGUAUCGUAAGGUGGUACACGAAUAAGAGCUGGGCAAGACCGGUGCCAGCCGCCGCGGUAAUACCGGCAGCUCAAGUGAUGGCCGCUUUUAUUGGGCCUAAAGCGUCCGUAGCCGGCCGAACAGGUCCGUCGGGAAAUCUGCUCGCUCAACGAGCAGGCGUCCGGCGGAAACCAGUCGGCUUGGGGCCGGAAGGCUCGAGGGGUACGUCUGGGGUAGGAGUGAAAUCCUGUAAUCCUGGACGGACCACCGGUGGCGAAAGCGCCUCGAGAGGACGGACCCGACGGUGAGGGACGAAAGCUAGGGUCACGAACCGGAUUAGAUACCCGGGUAGUCCUAGCUGUAAACGAUGCUCGCUAGGUGUGGCACAGGCUACGAGCCUGUGCUGUGCCGUAGGGAAGCCGAGAAGCGAGCCGCCUGGGAAGUACGUCCGCAAGGAUGAAACUUAA